UGGGUAGUCCGCACGAGCGCACCUUACUUUUAGUUGCCACCAUUUAGUUGGGCACUCUAAAAGAACUGCCAGUGAUAAGCUGGAGGAAGGUGGGGAUGACGUCAAGUCCUCAUGGCCCUUACGUGUUGGGCUACACACGUGCUACAAUGGUACUUACAAUGAGAUGCGAAGAGGCGACUCUAAGCCAAUCCCAAAAAUGUGCCUCAGUUCGGAUUGUACUCUGCAACUCGAGUACAUGAAGCUGGAAUUGCUAGUAAUCGCGGAUCAGCGCGCCGCGGUGAAUACGUUCCCGGGUCUUGUACACACCGCCCGUCACACCAUGGAAGUUGGUUACACAUUAAGGCAAAGCGUAAAACCUUUGACUACGGUACGAUCAGCAACUGGGGUGAAGUCGUAACAAGGUAGCCGUAGGGGAACCUGCGGCUGGAUCACCUCCUUUCU
Molecule: ribosomal RNA, 441 nt
Filed under: uncultured Pelagibacterales bacterium
Lineage: Bacteria; Pseudomonadati; Pseudomonadota; Alphaproteobacteria; Candidatus Pelagibacterales
Description: bacterial SSU rRNA
Rfam family: Bacterial small subunit ribosomal RNA
Source: RNAcentral